Long non-coding RNA from Armigeres subalbatus, 1841 nucleotides. RefSeq lists it as uncharacterized. The record is from RefSeq and is a predicted model, not a curated record. The transcript has 3 exons. NCBI's taxonomy places the organism in Eukaryota, Metazoa, Arthropoda, Insecta, Diptera, Culicidae.
AACUUUAUCCGCCCAAGGUAGAACACCAGACAGAUUGCUCAAGGACUGCUGAAUCUUAGAAAAGGUACAUCUCUGUUGGACACGUGAACUGCAGUAAGACAAGUGUCGGCCGGACGUAGCGUAGAUAGACUAUUUUUCCGUACGGAGUGCUAGACCCUAGACAACACGCAAUUUUUCAUCGGUCUCGGACUGGAAUACGAUUUUAGAAGAAAGAAUUAUCGGGCGAUAUUACGUGUGAUGCAAUGAAUCCGGGAUAUAGUCGAAACCUAGUAAAUUCACUGUCGUUAAUUAGUUAGUGCCGUAUUUCGAAGCAUUUGGACUACGCAGUACAAAGGCGAGAAAAUUCCGUAUCCGACAAAAAAACGGAACAAGUCCAGAGGAAAUUAUUGAAAGGGAAAAGAAGGCUAGGUGGGUAAAAGGAAACCGCCGCAAGUGAAGAACACGGCGCGGAACUGUCUGUGCUGGAGGACGUGGAGCAAAGGGGAGACAGAAGAUUCUCACCGGGUAGCGACUAUAGUGUACAACCGAAGAGCCGGCUGGAAACGAGAGCAAAAGUCCCAUCUCCCCCCAAGUGACCGUGUUUUGCUCUGGUCGGUCUAAAAAGGGAUAGGGUUGGUCGUCAACGCAGGCGGUAGGAGUGCGGCGGCACACAUAGGCGGGGGAAUUGUGUGUAGUGCAGGAGCGGGCUACCACAGCCGCAGAAGCUCCAGUCGGGCCAGACUUUAUGUACAAUAAUCACGCUCCUCCGAGAAAAGAGACGGAGAGCGGAUUCGCAACCCGGCGAACGUGCAGACAGCAGGGCCGAGUGAGCGGCUCCCAGACAAAGGAGACUGAAACAAGAAGACUGACACCGACACAACGAAUCGCCGAGGCGGGGGAGGCAACAAGCGAAACGAGAUAUUACAUGCAAUUAUCGGACGAGGUUUCAAAAAUCGCUGCAUUGCACUAAAACAAAAACGUGAAACGUUUUUGAAGCAUUACAACAAAGCAAUAAAAGACACGGAGAUUCUGUUUUUAUUUAUCAAGGUGCAAAAUUAAACUGGUUGCGCGAAGUUAAAUCGUAGGCUAUAAAAUAUCAUCAUUAACCUAAAGUAACAAACGCUAGUUUGAUUGUCGUCGCUCUAAUACACUACAAAACAUCGUUAAACGUAGCAUUUGACAUCCAUCAGAAUCAAAAGUUAGAAGGAAUCUCGGAUUAGCAAAUUUUGACGUAGUAUCUAAGCUCGUAAAUAUAAAGCAUUUUUGGACGUCAAACAUUCGAAUACACUUUCAUCGCAAUUAGUAGAAAUUACUUUCUCGCAUAAAUUGACAGUCGAUCAUGCGAUUUUUGUAAGAAGUCAAAUCAAACCACAAUUUCUAGGCAAAUAUUUAACCCGAACUUAGUCAAAUUUAAUAAUACGCAAACACAUUUCUUCGAAGAGGAAGCAAAAAAUCAGCACUUCUAAAGGUUAGACUUUUUACAUACACGAGAACAUAAAUAACACGCACAUACCGAUUAAUAAAGCAAGGCAAAGCGAACCAAGAAGACUACAGGAAUAAAACAACCGAAUCAUAGAACAUUAGAUCUUCCUUGAAGUCUCCUCCGUGAGAACCACCAGCAGGGCGGCAUCGGCGGCGUGGACGGCAACAGCAACUACAACAACAACUAGCGCAAAAGUGUAAACAGAGCAACAACAGGGAUAAACCAACGAGAACACAGGAGAAGGAAACAGGAAAACAUCAACUACGAACUUACUACCCUUACCUAGCCCCCACCAUCAUUGUGUGAAUUAGCAAAAAAGGAGAAAAAAAUACUGUCGGAGCUGCGCGACUAGCGUGGCGGAAAGUUCUUCAUCGCAACG